RNAcentral lists this ribosomal RNA (503 nucleotides) under uncultured bacterium. RNAcentral's name for it is "partial 16S ribosomal RNA". It matches the Rfam family "Bacterial small subunit ribosomal RNA", at positions 30 to 523 of the family's 1533-position model. The record is from RNAcentral.
AUUGAACGCUGGCGGCAGGCUUAACACAUGCAAGUCGAGCGGGGUGAUGGUGCUUGCACUAUCACUUAGCGGCGGACGGGUGAGUAAUGCUUAGGAAUCUGCCUAUUAGUGGGGGACAACAUCUCGAAAGGGAUGCUAAUACCGCAUACGUCCUACGGGAGAAAGCAGGGGAUCACUUGUGACCUUGCGCUAAUAGAUGAGCCUAAGUGGGAGUAGCUAGUUGGUGGGGUAAAGGCCUACCAAGGCGACGAUCUGUAGCGGGUCUGAGAGGAUGAACCGCAACGGUGGGACUGAGACAGGGCCCAGGCUCCUACGGGAGGCAUCAGUGGGGGAUAUUGGACAAUGGGGGGAAACCUGAUCCAGCCAUGCCGCGUGUGUGAAGAAGGCCUUAUGGGUGUAAAGCACGUUAAGCGAGGAGGAGGCUACUAGUAUUAAUACUACUGGAUAGUGGACGUUACUCGCAGAAUAAGCACCGGCUAACUCUGUGCCAGCCGCCGCGGUAA